Long non-coding RNA from Carassius auratus (goldfish), 1911 nucleotides. RefSeq lists it as uncharacterized. The record is from RefSeq and is a predicted model, not a curated record. NCBI's taxonomy places the organism in Eukaryota, Metazoa, Chordata, Actinopteri, Cypriniformes, Cyprinidae. The transcript has 3 exons.
UCCACAUGGUUAAGAUGUCACCUGUUAUGAUGUGUUAGAUGUCAUCACUUGUUGACGCAACCAAAGUAUUUUCUUUGUUAGUUCAUCAAUCCUAAUAAAAGUCAAUAGCCUUGUGGUUAGUGCAUCAACAUAUAGCACAACUGUGCUUACAGAGACCUGAGUUUGAUUCCCAUCUUGAGGUCCUUAGCUGAUUCCUCUCCUUGCUGUAAUUUAUUUUCUUCUGUCCUAUGUGAAUAAAAGGCAUAAAAACAACUUAAAAUUGUGAUGCACAGUAUGUAGUGAACCAGUGUUUGUUACAUUAUUGUGUCUUUCUGUAUUGACCCGCAUCAGCAUCCAGGAUCUGAACUCAGAUCUGUUUUGUAAUUGCUCAUUAUAUUUGCACUUGGAUAAUGAAAUGAUUCUGGAGAGAUGUGUUUCCCAUCAUAUCGGUGUGAUGUAUUCAACACAGCAUCUUUUACCUGCCAUAAUCUCCUUGUUUUUGUCACUCUUGUUGAAAAUUUAUUUUGUGGCGAUCUACGCGAUGGUCUCUAAUUGAUCAGCUCGACAAUUAGACAGAACAAGGCCUGUCUCUCUGUUUGUCUCUCUAUCUCUGUCUGUCUGUCUGUCUUUGUAUGUCUGGCAGCAGCUGCUCUGAAUCAGGUUAUCCUCUGACAGAUAAUGGAUGUAGCCGGUAUCUAAGCAUGCUCCCUAAAGCCAGCUCAAUCCUUCCAACAAGAUAAAGCCGACAAAUUACGCAACAUGAAAAAAACUCGCCGGAGGAGAGCCAGAGAAAGAGCUGAGGAUGUAAAGAAAGAGAGGACACAGAAGAAAAGCAUAUGGGUCGGAACGACAUUAGGAGGAUUGUUGCUGGAAAUAUCUGGAGCAGGUCCGCUGUGACAUAAUUAUUCAAAGGAGCAUGUUGUCUAACCUUCACAAACGGCGCCGAUCAUCCAUUCAGAGCCUCGUGUUUAGGUGGGAGAUGUAGCAGGACCAGGGUUCAGUGUGGGACCUCAGGAGGCAAUGAAGCAAUACGUUUCCAUCUUUCUGAAGGUCACCUGACCUACAUGUGCUGCAGGACGUUGGACACAUUUUUUUACUGCCAGUUUGUAUAGAUUUAUCAGUGUCACUCCUUAAAAUGUGAAUAAAUUCACAUAUUUAGCUCCUUUUAUAACAUUUGUCAGGGGUGCUUAGUAAGGCAUGAAUCAAAAUAGACUUUGUUUACUUACUAAUACAUGUUUCAGGUGUUUUUGUGCGUCUUUUAUCAGUACAUGUUAUUCUAAACAAAAAUAUGACUUAUUUUUAACUCUGAAUGAUGUUUCUUGACUAUGAGUCAUCCUGUGCUAGUGACGUGUCAUGUUAUGAACAUGUUACGCUAUUGCUGAGAUAUUUUAGUUGUUCUAGAAAUGGCAAUAAAUAAUAUAGGAGAGCACUCGCAUGGGUCCUGGAGAUGCGGAUGACCUAGAAAGACAGUAAAAACACAGGAGAAAAAUAGACAAAGGGUCAUUCAGUUCUCUUCAGCCCAUCACCAUGUGCUCAAAAACGCCGUGGUUUUCAAAGUCACCCAAGACCUGUUGUAAACAGUUCCCUGAGUUGAACCAGUAUGUAAAUAUUCACAAUAACCAUAUACAAGCUGAGUCUUCCACCCACUUAGACUGGCUGAUUGGCAGCUAAAGUGACUAAUGCUGCAUUCAAGAUCUUUGGAAAUCAUAAUUACAGCAUGAUGUGCGUUCCAAUGAUUUUUGCUAAAGUGAAAUGUUUUUGCUCUAUAAUGUACUUCUGGAAGCAUUUUUGCACUAAUGCAUCACAAUGAAGAGCAAAGGAUGUGCAUUUGGUGAGUAAUCAAUGUUUUUUUGUCAUUCUUGUUUUCACAGAGAAUGAUGGGAAAUGUAGUUUGAUUGCACUAGUCUGUCUACUCAUGUAUCAGCUAAAUUA